Molecule: ribosomal RNA, 461 nt
Filed under: uncultured Sphingobacteriales bacterium
Lineage: Bacteria; Pseudomonadati; Bacteroidota; Sphingobacteriia; Sphingobacteriales
Description: bacterial SSU rRNA
Rfam family: Bacterial small subunit ribosomal RNA
Source: RNAcentral
CCGACAAGCGGAGGAGCAUGUGGUUUAAUUCGUAUGAUACGCGAGGAACCUUACCUGGGCUCGAACGUAAGAUGACUGUAGGUGAAAGCUUACAUCUCUUCGGAGCAUUUUACGAGGUGCUGCAUGGUUGUCGUCAGCUCGUGCCGUGAGGUGUCGGGUUAAGUCCCAUAACGAGCGCAACCCCUACCUUUAGUUGCCAUCAGGUUAAGCUGGGGACUCUAAAGGAACUGCCUACGCAAGUAGUGAGGAAGGCGGGGAUGACGUCAAAUCAGCACGGCCCUUACGUCCAGGGCUACACACGUGCUACAAUGGCCGAUACAGAGGGCAGCUACCUGGCGACAGGAUGCAAAUCUCCAAAGUCGGUCUCAGUUCGGAUCGGAGUCUGCGACCCGACUCCGUGAAGUUGGAUUCGCUAGUAAUCGCGCAUCAGCCAUGGCGCGGUGAAUACGUUCCCGGGCCUU